UAAUGAGUGUUUUAUGGCACUUUUUAAAUCCAUAUCCACCUUGUGUGCAAUGUCAGUCGAUCUUCUUCAUGGAGAUCGACCAAACAUCAACCUUUAUCUUUUAACUCUUUGUCUGAAAAAUAUUAUGAAUAAACAAUUCAAAAUA
Molecule: unclassified non-coding RNA, 145 nt
Filed under: soil metagenome
Description: partial internal transcribed spacer 1
Source: RNAcentral